AACCACCGAGAAGGGACAAAGCCGGGACCGAUUUUUCUUGCGCAUGUGCGAGCUUAUUUGGUAUACCUGUCUUAUUGCCGAUCCCCUGCCAGCCGUCGGUUAGUCCGGUAAUAUUCGACGCCUAGUUCAGUCUAGUCAAGCGUUGCCUGAAUUUUUCUCUGUAUUUUUUGUGUGUUGUCAUUGUGCUCUUUAUUUUAUUAAAAACUUUUAUAAUAUGCCUUAUACCUGUGCUUUUCGUGGAUGUCAUUCAAAGACAGGGUGUGGUGUUUCUUUCUUUGCUUUUCCGCAGGAAGAAGAUCGUGCCAAGUUAUGGAUGGCAGCUUGCUAUAGAACAGACUUGUUUUCGAUACCUAGAGAACAACUUACCAGGAACUAUAAGCUCUGUGAGUACCAUUUUAAUGAAGUUUUAUAGUGCAGGGCCCUCAAGAAAGCGUUUGUUACCUAACGCGUUACCAACAUUAUUUCCUAAUCCCACAAAAAGGACUUGUGAAGGUGAACAGCUUGAGGAUAGACCGCCAAAAAAAGUCUCAAAGGAAAAGGACAUAAAAAUUCUAUCAGAUAUUUUAAUACAGCCUGCAAUUAUGAAACCAGCAGCGUUGGCCGAGCAAAGUAUUGCCGAAAAAAAUUCUCCUUAUGACAGAACUAAGACGAAAAAUAAAAAAGUUGUUGCGUGUUCCCUUUUUCCCGUGUCACCCGGUAUAGUUUAGGUUUAACUAUACCAACAGUAAAAUAAUGUAAUAGUUUUGAUUGCAAAUUCCCAAUAAAAUUUUU
Molecule: long non-coding RNA, 771 nt
Organism: Anthonomus grandis grandis
Lineage: Eukaryota; Metazoa; Arthropoda; Insecta; Coleoptera; Curculionidae
Exons: 3
Source: RefSeq, a predicted model, not a curated record